This 1017-nucleotide long non-coding RNA is filed under the name Equus asinus (donkey). Its description in RNAcentral is "lncRNA (ENSEASG00005031179.1)". Lineage: Eukaryota; Metazoa; Chordata; Mammalia; Perissodactyla; Equidae. The record is from RNAcentral.
AAAGCUUUCAUCCUGACAGCUGAAAAAGAACUUGUCUAUAAUUAGCAAAGCAGCUUCUUCCAGCAGUGCCUGGUUUCAAGUAUCUGAAAUGGUUCUAACUAAACUGUGCUCCAGCUUGGCAGCAAACAGCUGUCUGACAUUGGGAAAAUGCCUUAAAUUUCCAGGCUUCAGUUUCUUCAAUUUUAAAGCAAGGGUGUUGGACAGAGUGGUCUCUGAGGUCACUUCUAACCAGAGAGAGAGAGAACACACUGGAUGAAACAACCAGUACUCCACAGGUACUGACCAGGAAAUAACUGAGAACUUGAGCCAACUGUAAUGAGAAAUUAGGAAAAUCUGUGCGUCCAAGCCAGCCUUUUACUGAAGUGAAUGUGAAAUGACUGAUACUUUCUAAACAGUAUUUUUCUGUGUCGAUGACAAACCUGAUCAUGUAUGUUACAUAAAUGCAAGAAAAAGUGCAAAAUAUAUUUUAAACUUGGGGAGGAAAAUUCAGCUUUACUAAUUGCUACAAAGUCUGUCUCCCAAAAUUGAAAAGCAAAACUACAGAAAGAUGAGUUGACAUAUAUUAAAAACAGACAAAAAACAAACCAACCCCUUUGCACCAGCCGUUUUGCAUCAGCGACAUCCGCUGACUGGUGGUUCAUCUCCCAACCCUGCACAAUGGAAAGACCUUGCCUGUCUUGGAUUCCUCACUGGAGUCACCUUGCACAGCCCUGCCUCCCUGACCCAGCUUUUUGCCAUUACCAGAUUGAUAUGCAGAUGGAUACAAACCCUGGAGACCUGUCACUGAAGCUGCUACGUACAUGCAAAGUGUAUAUUUAUCAGUACCGAGUUCAUACUCAUUAAGUUUGUACUAUUUGACUCUUAUACAGUAUGGUAGUUACCUCUUACUGGUAAUCAUAGCAUUUUGAUUAAAAUUUGUGUGCCAACUAGGCUGAAAUAAAAAAUAUUAAACUAUGUCAAAUUUGUCAUAUUAAAACAGUUUGACCAACAAAGGAAGGAAAGAUAUGAAGGUAAGCU